AAGUCGUAACAAGGUCAUCGUAGGUGAACCUGCGGUGGGAUCAUUAAAUAAUCUCAACCUUAGGGGCUAUUUUGCUAUGGGUGUGGUUGUUUCUUUAGUGCUUUGAGAAUGUGUGCCAUCUGUUAUGGAUGGCGUGCUUCUUGGAGGACGGGAGAUGACUAUUGCUUGCAGCAGAGCUCUCUGCUUGUGUGAAUCUUGUAUGUUGCCUGGAGAGGAUAUGUUAUGUAUCUAAUCCGGCGAUGUGAGAACAGUUUUGGUGGGUGUAUUGUGAGAGUACAUACUCUGCACUCUGACAUACGCCCGCCAGCUGUUCUCUCUAACAUAAACACUAUCAAACAACCAACAACCAUAUAUCACGAGGACUAAACACCCUCAUCAACUAAUUUACAACUAUCCGUGGUGGAUCACUUGGCUCUU
RNAcentral lists this unclassified non-coding RNA (417 nucleotides) under Coemansia pectinata. RNAcentral describes it as "partial internal transcribed spacer region". The stretch from base 1 to 46 matches the Rfam family "Eukaryotic small subunit ribosomal RNA", at positions 1786 to 1831 of the family's 1831-position model. Lineage: Eukaryota; Fungi; Kickxellomycota; Kickxellomycetes; Kickxellales; Kickxellaceae. The record is from RNAcentral.